GCACCCGUAGCUCAGCGGUUAGAGCGCUUGGUUUACAUCCAAGAAGUCGUCCGUCCGAAUCGGACCGGGUGCA
This 73-nucleotide transfer RNA is filed under the name Candidatus Berkelbacteria bacterium CG2_30_39_44. Its description in RNAcentral is "tRNA-Val". It matches the Rfam family "tRNA". Rfam says of the family: Transfer RNA (tRNA) molecules are approximately 80 nucleotides in length. Their secondary structure includes four short double-helical elements and three loops (D, anti-codon, and T loops). Further hydrogen bonds mediate the characteristic L-shaped molecular structure. tRNAs have two regions of fundamental functional importance: the anti-codon, which is responsible for specific mRNA codon recognition, and the 3' end, to which the tRNAs corresponding amino acid is attached (by aminoacyl-tRNA synthetases). tRNAs cope with the degeneracy of the genetic code in two manners: having more than one tRNA (with a specific anti-codon) for a particular amino acid; and 'wobble' base-pairing, i.e. permitting non-standard base-pairing at the 3rd anti-codon position. RNAcentral also lists the same sequence under 5 other names. The record is from RNAcentral. Lineage: Bacteria; Candidatus Berkelbacteria.